CUUGGCUUGCUUUGUGACUUUCAGCAAGUCACUAUCCCUCCCUAAGCCUCAGUUUUUCUUGCCUGCAAAAUGGGACUGUGCCACCAUCACAGAGUUAAAAACCGGAGGGCCCUAUGGAGAGACCUGUCA
This is a non-coding RNA of Ceratotherium simum simum (southern white rhinoceros), 129 nucleotides long. The record is from RefSeq and is a predicted model, not a curated record. NCBI's taxonomy places the organism in Eukaryota, Metazoa, Chordata, Mammalia, Perissodactyla, Rhinocerotidae.